GACAGAGGCCUCAAGCGUUAGGCGGAAUCACUGGGCUUAAAGCGCGCGCAGGCGGUUUCUUAAGUCUGAUGUGAAAGCCCACGGCUCAACCGUGGAGGGUCAUUGGAAACUGGGGAACUUGAGUGCAGAAGAGAAAAGCGGAAUUCCACGUGUAGCGGUGAAAUGCGUAGAGAUGUGGAGGAACACCAGUGGCGAAGGCGGCUUUUUGGUCUGUAACUGACGCUGAGGCGCGAAAGCGUGGGGAGCAAACAGG
Molecule: ribosomal RNA, 253 nt
Filed under: uncultured bacterium
Lineage: Bacteria
Description: partial 16S ribosomal RNA
Rfam family: Bacterial small subunit ribosomal RNA
Source: RNAcentral